GAUGAAGAACGCAGUGAAAUGCGAUAAGUAGUGUGAAUUGCAGAAUUCAGUGAAUCAUCGAAUCUUUGAACGCACAUUGCGCCCUUUGGUAUUCCUUAGGGCAUGCCUGUUCGAGCGUCAUUUAAACCUUCAAGCUCAGCUUGGUGUUGGGUGACUGUCCGCUUCACCGCGGACUCGCCUCAAAAUUAUUGGCGGCCGGUACAUUGGCUUCGAGCGCAGCAGAAACGCGAACUCGGGCCCGUCGUAUUGGCUCCCAGAAGCUAUCUUCACAAUUUUGACCUCGGAUCAGGUAGGGAUACCCGCUGAACUUAAGCAUAUCAAUAAGGGAGA
Molecule: unclassified non-coding RNA, 330 nt
Filed under: soil metagenome
Description: partial contains 5.8S ribosomal RNA, internal transcribed spacer 2, and large subunit ribosomal RNA
Rfam family: 5.8S ribosomal RNA (bases 1-120)
Source: RNAcentral